RNAcentral lists this ribosomal RNA (408 nucleotides) under uncultured bacterium. RNAcentral's name for it is "partial 16S ribosomal RNA". It matches the Rfam family "Bacterial small subunit ribosomal RNA", at positions 30 to 526 of the family's 1533-position model. The record is from RNAcentral.
AUUGAACGCUGGCGGCGUGCUUAACACAUGCACGUCGAACGAAGUGGCGAACGGGUGAGUAAUACGUGAGUAACCUGCCCUCCUUUUUGGGUUAAGCCUUGGAAACGGGGUCUAAUACCGAAUAAAGGGGGAUGGGCUCGCCGCCUAUCAGCUUGUUGGUGGGGUGAUUGCCUACCAAGGCGGUGACGGGUAGCCGGCCUGAGAGGGUGACCGUCCACAUUGGGAUUGAGAUACGGCCCAGACUCCUACGGGAGGCAGCAGUGGGGGAUAGUGCACAAUGGGCGAAAGCCUGAUGCAGCGACGCCGCGUGUGUGAAGAAGGUCUUCGGAUUGUAAAGCACUUUAAGUUGGGAGGCGUUACCAACAGAAUAAGCACCGGCUAACUUCGUGCCAGCAGCCGCGGUAAUAC